CGAUGAUCACUCGUUGUUGGCAACACACAGUCAGUGACCAAGCGAAAGCGAUAAGUGAUCCACCUGGGGAGUACGACCGCAAGGUUGAAACUCAAAGGAAUUGACGGGGGCCCGCACAAGCGGUGGAGCAUGUGGUUUAAUUCGAUGAUACGCGAGGAACCUUACCUGGGCUCAAAUGCAAAAUGACGUUUCGGGAAACCGGAAUUUCUUCGGACAUUUUGCAAGGUGCUGCAUGGUUGUCGUCAGCUCGUGCCGUGAGGUGUCGGGUUAAGUCCCAUAACGAGCGCAACCCCUAUCAUUAGUUGCCAUCAGGUAAAGCUGGGGACUCUAAUGAAACUGCCUACGCAAGUGGAGAGGAAGGUGGGGAUGACGUCAAAUCAGCACGGCCCUUACGUCCAGGGCUACACACGUGCUACAAUGGCCGGUACAGAGGGCAGCCACCACGCGAGUGGGAGCGAAUCUCGAAAGCCGGUCUCAGUUCGGAUCGAAGUCUGCAACCCGACUUCGUGAAGCUGGAAUCGCUAGUAAUCGCGCAUCAGCCAUGGCGCGGUGAAUACGUUCCCGGGCCUUGUACACACCGCCCGUCAAGCCAUGGAAGCUGGGGGUACCUGAAGUCGGUAACCGUUAAGGAGCCGCCUAGGGUAAAACUAGUGACUGGGGCUAAGUCGUAACAAGGUA
RNAcentral lists this ribosomal RNA (678 nucleotides) under uncultured bacterium. RNAcentral's name for it is "bacterial SSU rRNA". It matches the Rfam family "Bacterial small subunit ribosomal RNA", at positions 807 to 1498 of the family's 1533-position model. The record is from RNAcentral.